GGUCGGUGAUGAUCAGUAAAAGGUCUGAUUGCUCCAGGACACGUCCCCAGCACCUUCGCUCCCAGAAGCCCUCGUGCCUUUCCCAUGCUGCUCUAGCUGUGCUGUGAUGGCAGCCGGGGGGCUUCUGACAAUAACUGAUGCAGCUGCUUCGGUCCAUGAUUCAGAGAGAGAUUUGGAGCAUGUUCACAGCGGCAUCUGACAAGAGCUGUCACUCAGGGGCACCGGGUGCUGGGAGCCGAGUUAUAUCUGGCGCAUGACUUAAAGUUUUCAAGCUGAGACC
Molecule: non-coding RNA, 280 nt
Organism: Callorhinchus milii (elephant shark)
Lineage: Eukaryota; Metazoa; Chordata; Chondrichthyes; Chimaeriformes; Callorhinchidae
Source: Ensembl